Molecule: long non-coding RNA, 908 nt
Organism: Diospyros lotus (date-plum)
Lineage: Eukaryota; Viridiplantae; Streptophyta; Magnoliopsida; Ericales; Ebenaceae
Exons: 3
Source: RefSeq, a predicted model, not a curated record
CUCUCUGUAGUUGUUGUUGUUGUUGCUACUGCUAGUGCUCCUGCGCUCUUUCUAUCUUUCUUUGAAUUAUUCUAUCGAUCAUCGUCAUCAAAUUCCUUACCGAAAUUCCCGAGGAGCCUCCGACGAUCAUCGGCUGAAUUGCCCGUGUGUUUGAAUUGAGGCUCAUUAGUGGGCAGACUUGUAGAUUGUUCAUUAUUAUGCUUUGGUCCCACAUGUAAAGGCCUAAAGGGAAAAUUAAGCUUAUGCCUUCCUUUCUGAAACAGAAGAAGGUGAAGAAAAUUGGUAUGUCUCAAAUGGGCAGUUUGAUUUUGAACCCAUCAUCGGACUGGAAUGUGAAACCGGACAACUUUAGCUUAUAGAAUACACAUAAAUGACUUGAAGCCCCGAGAGAGGGAUAAUGGCAGAGGUCGAAAGAUGCACCCUGAUGCAAAACAACGACCACCUAGUCUUUAUUCAACCAUCCCUUGUUGACCUAGUAGCAUUCGCCAUAGCCACCACCUGGGAAAACGGGCACUUUUGGCAUGGAGUAUAUUUUUUCUUUUUUGUAUAGCAAGGGUUCCCAACUUUGAGCUUAGAGCUGUUGUGGCCCAACUAGAGUUUUGGGCAAUUGAUCAGCCACCCUUUGCUUCACAACUCCCUGUGACCAUCUCAAGUGACUAAUUUCUGAUGCCUCUGACCCUAGCCGUUCCACUGUGGCUGCCUACCUAUCAAUUGGGUACUUAUUUCCUUACCGUCAUUGUGAGCACUGUGGCAUGCGGUGACAUUUUCCUGAUGAGUGGCCCCAAUAUUAAAGAAAUGAACGGGAAGGAAGAGUUUGAGAAAUGGAAGGUGAAAGCAAGGGCGGAAGUCCAUAGGAAUAAAGUGAAUGUAUGUACAUCCAACCUUUGUAUAAUGUGUAAUGCAAGAAA